Molecule: ribosomal RNA, 256 nt
Filed under: uncultured bacterium
Lineage: Bacteria
Description: partial 16S ribosomal RNA
Rfam family: Bacterial small subunit ribosomal RNA
Source: RNAcentral
UACGUAGGGGGCGAGCGUUGUCCGGAGUACUGGGCGUAAAGCGCACGCAGGCGGAUCUGUUAACGUUUGGAGGUGAACAGUUGGUGGCUUAACUGCCAAAGUGCUUCGAAAACUGACAGACUUGAGGGCUUCAGAGGGACACGGAAUUCCGGGUGGAGUGGUGAAAUGCGUAGAGAUCCGGAAGAACACCGGUGGCGAAGGCGGCCUGCUGGGCAGUUGCUGACACUGAGGCGCGACAGCGUGGGGAGCAAACAGG